Molecule: long non-coding RNA, 354 nt
Organism: Priapulus caudatus
Lineage: Eukaryota; Metazoa; Priapulida; Priapulimorpha; Priapulimorphida; Priapulidae
Exons: 3
Source: RefSeq, a predicted model, not a curated record
AGUUUACUCUUAGCUUCCAAAGUCGAUCAAACGAAAACCUAACGUUGUCUGGUCUAUACCCGAGUAGUUACGUCGACUCGAUCGGAGUGACAAGGUACAUUGCCGUAACGCAGAUGGCGGCAACGCUGGCGCGGGAAGUAUUUCCUUGCUGGGACGAGACGAGAUUCAGAGCCACGUUUCAGUUGACUCUCAUACAUGACGAAAAGCACAUCGCCUUGUCGAACACCGACACAGCGCAUCAGCGAGCGUGGAGUAAAGGUUGGGUAGCCGACACAUUUGAGCAAACGAUAGAGAUGCCUACAUAUCUCGUAGCGAUCGUCGUGUGCGACUUUUCAUAUAAAGCGAAGCGAAGCA